CGCUCUCUUAAAGCAAGCUGCAGCCUGAUACAGACACUGCCAGUUUCUAGGCAAUGGAAGGUUCUGGAAAGUGGAUCAUUGUCCCCCUCUGGUAGAUAUGAUGAUUGAGGAUCACUUGGUAUCCUCCUUGUGGAAGCCAUGUUCCCUGCGUGCCUCCCUCUCUCUCAAGCGUGAUCCCGUGCCCUCCUCAUGUCGUAUCCUGUUCAACUACCACAGAAUCUCAAAGUCUUCAGAGCUGGAGCAGCUCCCUAAUUUUUUCCUGUCAUUUCUCAUCGGAAGGUUUUGUUCUCUUGCUCCAGGGCUGCAUCACUGUGGGCACGCCAAGCUUCCCUGGUUACCUGAGCUGCUCCUGCGGUGUCCCCCGCAUCGGCUUCGCCAGGGUGCACUGGAACCCCGAGUCGCGGUCUGCGCCAUGCCGAAGAAGGACCUGCUCCGGAGCUCUGGCCGGGGCCCCUCACAGCUGCAAGAGGGUGACGCCGCAGAAGACCCGGGGUGGGACGGGUAG
Molecule: long non-coding RNA, 505 nt
Filed under: Zalophus californianus (California sea lion)
Lineage: Eukaryota; Metazoa; Chordata; Mammalia; Carnivora; Otariidae
Description: lncRNA (ENSZCAG00015013942.1)
Source: RNAcentral